UCCAGAGGGUGCGAGUGUUAAUCGGAUUUACUGGGCGUAAAGCGCACGCAGGCGGUCUGUCAAGUCGGAUGUGAAAUCCCCGGGCUCAACCUGGGAACUGCAUCCGACACUGGCAGGCUAGAGUCUUGUAGAGGGGGGUAGAAUUCCAGGUGUAGCGUUGAAAUGCGUAGAGAUCUGGAGGAAUACCGGUGGCGAAGGCGGCCCCCUGGACAAAGACUGACACUCAGGUGCGAAAGCGUGGGGAGCAAACAGG
This 253-nucleotide unclassified non-coding RNA is filed under the name uncultured Enterobacteriaceae bacterium. RNAcentral's name for it is "contains 16S-23S intergenic spacer region". It matches the Rfam family "Bacterial small subunit ribosomal RNA", at positions 524 to 776 of the family's 1533-position model. Lineage: Bacteria; Pseudomonadati; Pseudomonadota; Gammaproteobacteria; Enterobacterales; Enterobacteriaceae. The record is from RNAcentral.